Molecule: ribosomal RNA, 493 nt
Filed under: uncultured bacterium
Lineage: Bacteria
Description: partial 16S ribosomal RNA
Rfam family: Bacterial small subunit ribosomal RNA
Source: RNAcentral
GACGAACGCUGGCGGCGUGCCUAACACAUGCAAGUUGAGCGACGAACCAGGGCUUGCCCUGGGGCAAAGCAGCGAACGGGUGAGUAACACGUGGGUAACCUACCCCGAUAACCGGGACAACCCGAGGAAACUCGGGCUAAUACCGGAUGUGCUCACUGGACUUCGGUUCAGUGCGUAAAGGAAGCUUCGGCCUCCGUAUCGGGAGGGGCCCGCGGCCCAUUAGUUUGUUGGUGAGGUAACGGCUCACCAAGACCACGAUGGGUAGCUGGUCUGAGAGGACGAUCAGCCACACUGGGACUGAGACACGGCCCAGACUCCUACGGGAGGCAGCAGUGGGGAAUCUUGCGCAAUGCGCGAAAGCGUGACGCAGCAACGCCGCGUGGGGGAAGAAGGCCUUCGGGUUGUAAACCCCUUUCAGGAGGGACGAAGGUUCGGCGGUGAAUAGCCGUCCGGACUGACGGUACCUCCACAAGAAGCCCCGGCUAACUACGUG